This 912-nucleotide ribosomal RNA is filed under the name uncultured Sulfurimonas sp. Its description in RNAcentral is "bacterial SSU rRNA". It matches the Rfam family "Bacterial small subunit ribosomal RNA", at positions 128 to 1056 of the family's 1533-position model. Lineage: Bacteria; Pseudomonadati; Campylobacterota; Epsilonproteobacteria; Campylobacterales; Sulfurimonadaceae. The record is from RNAcentral.
GCCUCUUAGUCUGGGAUAGCCAUUGGAAACGAUGAUUAAUACUAGAUACUCCUUGUAAUCAUAAGAUUAUUCGGGAAAGUUUUUUCGCUAAGAGAUCAGUCUAUAUCGCAUCAGUUAGUUGGUGGGGUAAACGGCCUACCAAGACAAUGACGCGUAGCGGGUUUGAGAGGAUGAUCCGCCACACUGGUAAUGAGACACGGACCCAGACUCNUACGGGAGGCAGCAGUGAGGAAUAUUGCACAAUGGGGGAAACCCUGAUGCAGCAACGCCGCGUGGAGGAUGCCGCAUUUCGGUGUGUAAACUCCUUUUAUGAGUCAAGAAAAUGACGGUAGCUCAUGAAUAAGCACCGGCUAACUCCGUGCCAGCAGCCGCGGUAAUACGGAGGGUGCAAGCGUUACUCGGAAUCACUGGGCGUAAAGGACGCGUAGGCGGGUUAUCAAGUCAGGUGUGAAAUCCUAUGGCUCAACCAUAGAACUGCACUUGAAACUGGUAACCUAGAGUAUGGGAGGGGCAGAUGGAAUUAGUAGUGUAGGGGUAAAAUCCGUAGAUAUUACUAGGAAUACCGAAAGCGAAGGCGAUCUGCUGGAACAUAACUGACGCUAAGGCGUGAAAGCGUGGGGAGCAAACGGGAUUAGAUACCCCGGUAGUCCACGCCCUAAACGAUGAACACUAGUCGUCGGGGAGCUAGUCUCUUCGGUGAUGCACUUAACAGAUUAAGUGUUCCGCCUGGGGAGUACGGUCGCAAGAUUAAAACUCAAAGGAAUAGACGGGGACCCGCACAAGUGGUGGAGCAUGUGGUUUAAUUCGAAGAUACGCGAAGAACCUUACCUAGCCUUGACAUUGAUUGAAUACCCUAGAGAUAGAGUAGUGCCCUUCGGGGAACAUGAAAACAGGUGCUGCACGGCUGUCGUC